AAAGAAAGGAGGUGCAAAAAAGAAAAAGAAAAAAAGUAAGAUGGUGAUGCAUGCAAAAAUAGAAGAUAAAGCGUUGUUGGUGGAGAUGGAAUCAAGAACUGUUACAAGGGAGAAAAGGAAUUGAUAUAGGAGAGGAAUGAGGCUGACAUAGGGGGGAACAAGAUGAGGAAGUUGCCUAAUAUGAAAGAAGGAGAUGCAAAAAAUAAGAAAGAAAGAAAGAAAGAAGGAGAUGCACGCAAAGAAAGAAGAUAAAGAUCUGUUGGAGAGAUGAAAUCAACAACCUCAUGAACUAUUACAAGGGAGAAAAGGAGUUGAAGUAGGAGAGGAAUAGGCUGACACAGUUCUGAACAUGCAAGGGAAGAAGAGAAAACUGCCCACUCUAGGACAUGCUCCAGAUCCCAUGACGUGCAGAAGCUGACCAACACAAGGGCAAAUAAAAUCAAACUCAGGGGAGAAAGCUUUGGUUCUAGUUUCGGAUUGAAGUUGACAGUUCCCACACAAGACCUUCUACCAACCAAUCCUCGG
Salvia splendens (bonfire salvia) is the source of this 525-nucleotide long non-coding RNA. RefSeq lists it as uncharacterized. The record is from RefSeq and is a predicted model, not a curated record. Lineage: Eukaryota; Viridiplantae; Streptophyta; Magnoliopsida; Lamiales; Lamiaceae. The transcript has 3 exons.